This 1515-nucleotide long non-coding RNA is filed under the name Canis lupus familiaris (dog). RNAcentral's name for it is "lncRNA (ENSCAFG00000050829.1, ENSCAFG00805015763.1, ENSCAFG00845030393.1)". The record is from RNAcentral. Lineage: Eukaryota; Metazoa; Chordata; Mammalia; Carnivora; Canidae.
AAGUUAGUUCUUUAAGAUACAAUGUAGUAUAAAACAAAGAGACAAGCUUUGGAUCAUGCAGACCCAGAGUUGGAAUUACAACCCUUCUGUCCCUUGAUUUUUCAUCUCCUAACAUAAGGUUGCAAUGCCCUAGAAUACAACACAGGGCAUGGUGUACUGACAUUCAGCAAAUACAUGUUGAUUCAUUUUCCCCUCUUUCUUUUUCUUCUUUAUCUUACUCCCUCUUUUUCUUCAUUUUCUUUGAUUCUGUCUAAACUGAUCAAAAUAUCAAGGGCUAUUCGGGGACAAUUGGGAAAAAUUUGAAUACUGGAUAUUUAUUGGUAUAAUAGAAUGAUCCUGAUUUUUAGGUAUAAUAAUUAUUCCAAAGUAGAGUUUUUAAAAAAGAAUCUCCCCUUUUUAAAGAUACUUUUGAAGUGUUUGUGGAUGCAGUGAUAUGAUGUAUAUAGGAUUUGCUCAAUAAAACCCAGUGAAUUGGGGGGUUGGAGGACAAGAAUGUAUAGAGGUAUGGAUGAAACCAGAUUGGUUUGAGUUGAUAAUUGUUGAAUCUGAGUGAUGAGUAUAUGGGGAUUCAUUAUACUGUCAGUCACUACUUUUGUGUGUGUCUGAAAAUUUCCAAAAUAAAACAUUUUCCAAAAUGUCAAUGCAGAAAGUUCAAGCCUCAGUGUUUUCCUCAUCUUCAACAAAGCUCCUAAUUCUCCCCCAAGGACAUUCUGGGUGGCUCUUCUCCUUGCUUUCCCCAGUACUUCCUGGGUUAUUCCAGACUCAUGCCAGCACAGCACCACACUGCCUCAGCCCCCGCAGUUGGCAUUUGAACAAAAAUCUCUUCCUGACCCCAGAUGGCAUCACAGCUUUCUCAGUCUGAUCCCGUAAGCAUAUUUUUUUCAAGCACCUGAUUCCUGGAUAUGGCAGCAAUAAAACCAACCAAGAUUGUUUGGCUGGCCCCCUCUGGAGCAGGUAUUUCCCAUUCUGACGCUGUCAGCCAUCUGAGCACGCUGCUUCCAAGAGCUCCAAAAUUACAGCCGAGUAAGAAUUUCACAGACUGCAGUGCAUGCUUUUAUAUCUGCAGCCAGAGUGUUCCUGAGGGAUGGAGAGCCACUAAGGUAAAUGGUAUACUAAUAUUACUGAUUAUUAAUGGGAAAACUGAUGCAAAUAAGCAAUUUUAUGGACUGCACUUUAUUGGGAAGCUGGCGUGAGUGGAGGAGAAAAAGCAAAGAACAAGCACAAGUGGAGUUUAUUUACUCUGGUCCUUGUCACAAUAUGGACUCUAAGUUAAAUAUAUAUCAGACUGCAGUUUAAUUGAAGUAGAAAGAUAAAGGGCUGAGUUAUCCCAGUCUUGGUGACUUCCUGAGAAACCAACAAACUAAAGACAGAAGCAAAGGUAAGUCAGACCAGGUCUAUGUGGAGAGCUAAACCAGAGAUCUCAGUGGGUGGCUUCCAGGCAGCACUUCACCAAUAGGCUUUUGGGAGUCUGUGGGUGUUUUCUGUGGCAUCAUAAAUUUAUGGGGUGUGUUGGGG